This is a long non-coding RNA of Lemur catta (Ring-tailed lemur), 772 nucleotides long. RefSeq lists it as uncharacterized. The transcript has 4 exons. NCBI's taxonomy places the organism in Eukaryota, Metazoa, Chordata, Mammalia, Primates, Lemuridae. The record is from RefSeq and is a predicted model, not a curated record.
UCCAAUAUCAAACAUUAGAACUUAUUCCUUUGAUCUAACCAUCUGUUCAUACCCAUUAACCAAUCUUUCUUCAUUCCUACCCUGUCCAGGCACACCCUGCCCAGCCUCUGGUAUCUAUCAUUCUACUCUGCACCUCCAUGAGAUCAACAUAUUAAUUGGGGGUUGAAUUCAACCACAAAGGCAAUAUGCAAAGUUUAAAGAAGAAUCGUUUAUAUCUCUCUUUAGCAUGCUGCAUGAGAAAUAAAACUCAUCCCGAUACAUUGACGUCAGAAAGCUUUGAUGGAACCCAUAAUGAAAGUUACAUACCCACUGACCAGCUUUGUCAAUGUUGGAGAGAGAGUACUACCAAAGAGGAAAUUAACUGGUUACUCUUGCAGUUUGUUGAUGUCUGAACAAAGAUUACAUGGGAAACAAAGGAGGCAACAGAUGAAUACAAACAGUUCUUCAAAUUACCGUCAAUUUCCAUUUUCUAGAAUUUUUUUGAUCAUGGGCCGUCAAUGAAGAGUUCACUCUGCCACUUAACUAAAUAGUAUGUCUGCACAUUAGCUGUACAUUUUCUGCAAUGGGGCUGCCAGGGUUGGGGCAAAAUUUGGAUAAUUUGGGCAAGGCAAGCAUUUCCUUCUUACCACACUCUGAACAAAAGAAAGGUUUUUCUUUGGAGGAUAAGCAGUAGUCCCUGUGACAAACACUGGUAUUUUAGACCAGGAUAUAGUCUUGGAUUUGGAGUGAAAGCUGGAAUCAGUGCUUGGCUUUGACAUCUCAUAUUCACUUG